AAAACAUGUCCUUUUGAGAUUAAUUUAAGGUCGGGCCUGCCCCCUGAUGUUAAUUAAAGGGCCGCGGUAUUUUGACCGUGCAAAGGUAGCAUAAUCAUUAGUCUCUUAAUUGGAGGCUGGUAUGAAUGGUUUGACGAAACAUUAACUGUCUCUUUAUAAUAAGUAGAAUUUAACUUUUAAGUCAAAAGGCUUAAAUUGAUAUAAAAGACGAGAAGACCCUGUAGAUCUUUAUAUAAAGGAUAUUUUUAUUUUGUUUAGAGGUCUUGUUAAUAGAAGUAUUGUUAUAUUUUGUUGGGGUGAUAUGAAGAUAUAAUAAACUCUUUAUAAUUAUAACAUUGAUAUAUGAUUGUUUGAUCCGUUAUUAGCGAUUGUAAGAUAAAGUUACCUUAGGGAUAACAGCGUAAUUUUUUUUAAGAGUUCUUAUCGACAAAAAAGAUUGCGACCUCGAUGUUGGAUUAAGGAAUAUGAUUAGGUGCAGAAGCUUAAUUAAUAAGUCUGUUCGACUUUUAAAUCCUUACAUGAUCUGAGU
RNAcentral lists this ribosomal RNA (529 nucleotides) under Atlanticus gibbosus. RNAcentral's name for it is "partial 16S ribosomal RNA". It matches the Rfam family "Bacterial large subunit ribosomal RNA", at positions 1810 to 2610 of the family's 2925-position model. The record is from RNAcentral. Lineage: Eukaryota; Metazoa; Arthropoda; Insecta; Orthoptera; Tettigoniidae.